This 253-nucleotide ribosomal RNA is filed under the name uncultured bacterium. Its description in RNAcentral is "partial 16S ribosomal RNA". It matches the Rfam family "Bacterial small subunit ribosomal RNA", at positions 524 to 776 of the family's 1533-position model. The record is from RNAcentral.
UACGGAGGGUGCAAGCGUUGUUCGGAAUCACUGGGCGUAAAGCGCGUGUAGGCGGCCUUCUCAGUCUGGUGUGAAAGCCCGGGGCUCACCCCCGGAAGUGCAUUGGAUACUGGAAGGCUGGAGUACCGGAGAGGAGGGUGGAAUUCCUGGUGUAGCGGUGAAAUGCGUAGAUAUCAGGAAGAACACCCGUGGCGAAGGCGGCUCUCUGGGACGGUACUGACGCUGAGACGCGAAAGCGUGGGGAGCGAACAGG